AUGGACUCUACUCUCUUCAUCAUCGGCGUCAUAGGGAACAUCAUCUCGGUUCUGGUCUUCAUUUCUCCCAUCCCGACAUUCUGGAGGAUCGUGAGGAGCGGGUCGACUGAGGACUUCGAGGCGGCGCCGUACGUGCUCACGCUGCUCAACACGCUGCUAUGGCUCUACUACGGCCUCACCAAGCCCGACGGCCUGCUCGUCGCCACCGUCAACGGCUUCGGCGCCGUCAUGGAGACCAUCUACCUCGUGCUCUUCCUCGUCUACGCCGCCGACAAAGGCAAAAGGGUUAAAACCGCAAAGUUGGUGGCAGCUUUGGACGUUGGGUUUUUCGGGGUCGUUUUCGCGGCCACAACAUUUGCCAUUGAUGGGCUGGACAUGAAAAUCAUGGUUAUUGGCUUGAUAUGUGCAUGCCUUAGCGUGUUCAUGUAUGGGUCCCCACUCGCUGCCGUGCGAAGGGUGAUCACCUCAAGGAGCGUGGAGUACAUGCCCUUCUUCCUCUCCUUCUUCCUCUUCCUCAACGGAGGCGUCUGGGCCACGUAUGCCGUACUCGACAAAGAUGUCUUCCUCGGGGUCCCUAAUGGAACAGGCUGCUUCUUGGGCGGCAUCCAGCUGGUUAUCUAUGCGGUGUACAUGAACAGCAAGGUCGCCUCUCACUCUUAUGGCAGCGACGAAGCGGCUUCCCUUUUGUCCUCCGAGGCCAGCAAACAUGGCCAGCACGAUGCAUCCACUCGUGUUUAG
Molecule: ribosomal RNA, 738 nt
Filed under: Triticum aestivum (bread wheat)
Lineage: Eukaryota; Viridiplantae; Streptophyta; Magnoliopsida; Poales; Poaceae
Description: partial small subunit ribosomal RNA
Source: RNAcentral